AGCGGCAACGUCGGUUGUAAUAUGUCAAAUCAUAAAUAAGGCUUCUAUCAAAUACUCAUAACAAUGGAGGUACACGAGUGUACUUUGUUUACCGUUGUUUACUUUUCUUGACGUAAGUGAAGACGCUAUUUCAAGAAAUUUGAAGUGCUAAUUCAUUAAAAUAUGUACGCUUUCAUGACUGUGCCUCAACUUAAAGUUGAGGUUCGUAAAAGAAAUGCGUCAAUUGCCGGAAAAAAAGGCUAAUUUGAUAGAAAGAUUGCAAUCUAAUGACCGGAAUAAAAAUUUUGGUGUUGACUGCGAGAUCCAAGAGGAGAUCGCAUAUCUGAGUCCAGCCACUGAUACUUUCAGAGACAUAAUUGCGGACACUUCUUUACCAAUGAUUACGAGACAAGCAAUACAGGAAUAUUUUGAAAGUUAUGUACCCAUAUGUAAUGAUUAUAAUCUUAGGCAGUUGUUUACAAAGAUGACAGUGUAAAUUUUAUGUAUUUAAAUUGAUAUAAUACUCAGCAUAAAGGACAACUCCUGUACGAAUUUCGACAUCUUGUGACUGCCCGCUAUUCCACAGAUGGCAUUUAUACCCACUUGCGAGGACAAUGUAAAGCCAGUAUGAAAAAAAUGGUAUACUUUGUGGAUAUAAAAUUAAGUAAAGAUGGAGUAAUUGAAGAAUGCCAUUGCGAUUGUGCUGCAGGCAGUGGUACUCAAGCAUGUUGCAAACAUGUCUCUGUAUUGUUGGAUGACAUGUGAACCCGCAAAUCCACAUGGCAUUGAAUGGGAUCGUUACACCUAUGUAGAUAGGACUCCAAUAGAUAUUUUACUAGAGAAGCUAUUAUUAAAAAUAUUAUAUCUGAACAAAUUCAGGAAGUGAGAAGAAUACAAGAGCCCAAAGUGAUUCCUCUGAGUGGCAUGAAAGAUCAUGCAGGAUUACUGCCAGUAUGUUUCAUUUAGUGUGCCACAGUAAAGCAUAUAAGUACCAAAAAUAUAUGUAAUCGAUAUGAUUUUGGCCCCAAAGCUGUGCAGACUAUGUUAGUUGUGCAUAGUAAAAUCCAAGAAACUAUUUCCAUUGCCAAAUAUGAUAGAGAUUAUGGACUAAAAAUAA
Molecule: RNA transcript, 1096 nt
Organism: Manduca sexta (tobacco hornworm)
Lineage: Eukaryota; Metazoa; Arthropoda; Insecta; Lepidoptera; Sphingidae
Exons: 4
Source: RefSeq, a predicted model, not a curated record